Molecule: long non-coding RNA, 783 nt
Organism: Papaver somniferum (opium poppy)
Lineage: Eukaryota; Viridiplantae; Streptophyta; Magnoliopsida; Ranunculales; Papaveraceae
Exons: 3
Source: RefSeq, a predicted model, not a curated record
CAUUUGACUGUUCCCCCUGAUUUCUGCCACCUUCAAUUAGCCGUUGCUGCCUAUUUUUUGCCCAACGUUUCCGUUGGGCUAAGGACCUUUUAUUGCAGAGGUUAAGAGCACCAUGCUCCUGCGACACGCAAGAUAAGUUAUGAAGAAAUAUUACAGGGUUCAAUCAAUCAAAUAACAAUGGAUCUAAACAAUAAACAUCAAUAUUACGUUAACCCGAGGAGAGGAAACAUGUAAAUUUGGCUGAUUUUGUUCCACGCUCAGGCGUUUUGCACCAUGCUCCUGCAACACGCCAGAUAGCCAAAUAAUUAUUAAAACUAUGAACACCAGAUAAACUACGAAGAAAUAUUACAGGGUUCGAUCAAUCAAAUAACAAUGGAUCUAUACAAUAAAAAAUCAAUAUUACGUUAACAUGAGGAGAGGAAAUAUGUAAACUUGGCUGCAACUGUUCCACGUUCAUGCGUUUUUCUCUUUCCUUUUCCCAACGCUUCCGCUGUCCAAUUGACCUUUUACUGCUAAGGUUGAGAUAAGCAUCUUUUCAGGGCAUAUCUGCUUAUCAAAUUGCCGAAGGAUCUGUGUGAAAGGAAGUGUGUCAAAGUUUCGAGGUUUGCUGUCGAAUCUGUGUGAAAGGAAUUUAUCGUUUGAAUUAAUACAUGUAGCCCUGAUUUUUUGGGUCAAAGUCUUGAGGUUUGCUGUCGAAUCUGUCUGAAAUUGCUGCAGGAACUGUGUGAAAGGAAUUUAUCUUCAAUGAGUUUGAAUUAAUACAUGUAGCCCUGAUUUUUUUCA